This 1016-nucleotide long non-coding RNA is filed under the name Anser brachyrhynchus (Pink-footed goose). RNAcentral describes it as "lncRNA (ENSABRG00000020977.1)". The record is from RNAcentral. Lineage: Eukaryota; Metazoa; Chordata; Aves; Anseriformes; Anatidae.
CGAGCGCGCCCUCCUUUCCUCCAGAGGUAAGGGUGCUGCCGCAGACACAGCUGAGGUGGAUUUAUGCCUCGCUGUGUGAAUGUGUCUUUUCUGAUUUUUUUUCACUCUUUCCUCCGUGUUUUCUUUCUCUGUGGUUCCUGAGGUGUUGUGUAAGCUUGGUGGUAAAGAAACAGACUGGAGGGCACCGAGUGGCGCCGACCGGGCCUGCAAAGCCGGCAGCAGUCCGGUCCGAGCAGGUGAGCGCCUGGCAGCUCGGCCUUCACAGCGCAGAUGUACGCCGUGUCGGUGCAGGGGCACCGCAGAGGGCAAAGAAGCACGAAAGGCUUAAUUUUGCAUUCUUCACUGAAACAAACCAAACCAAGCAAAAACUUAUUUCCCCUCCCGCUGGAAGGCUCUCCGGUUUUCCAUGGGUGUAGCAGAAAGCCCUGGCGGUGACUGCUCGGCAGCCCCUGGAGGGAUCCCGUGGGGUCUGGAGACAGGACCACGGGGAGCCCUCGGACACCCCACGAGCUGCCCGGCCGCCCUGCUCCGGCCAUGCCGGCGGCUCGCCAGGGGCCUGGUGGGCUCUGGGCUCCCGGCAAAGUCCUCCUGGGGCUCCCCGGCAGCGGCCGCGUGGGAAAGGCCCCGCGCGUCGUGUCACGGGCAGGCCGGGCCCACCAGCAGGGCCGGCCGCCGCAGUACCCCGCUCCUGGCAGCAGCUGCGCGGAUUCCCUCAGUGGAGGAGAGAGUCAUGAUGCUCGUAUCUCUCAGACAUUUCGUUCCUUGCGACGGAGCUCGGUGAACCAGAUGAGGAGACGGUGCGCGUUCAGACACCCCUGUCAGCUGGGUCGCGGCGGGGGUUCGGUCCGGAUCCUGAGCGAGAGGAGGAGCAGGGCACGGCGGCACUCACACGUCUCUGGACAGUGAAAAUCGCCGUCUGUUCCCCGCAGUCUGUUAACAGCAAAGUGAAAUGAGAGCGUACCGUCCCCUUCAGCUGUGUCUUCUGUGGGAAUAAAUAACGUACGUGGUGUUGGACA